Molecule: ribosomal RNA, 301 nt
Filed under: uncultured bacterium
Lineage: Bacteria
Description: partial 16S ribosomal RNA
Rfam family: Bacterial small subunit ribosomal RNA
Source: RNAcentral
CAGCAGCCGCGGGAAUACAGAGGGUGCAAGCGUUAAUCGGAAUUACUGGGCGUAAAGCGCGCGUAGGUGGUUCGCCAAGUUGGAUGUGAAAUCCCCGGGCUCAACCUGGGAACUGCAUCCAAAACUGGCGAGCUAGAGUAUGGUAGAGGGUGGUGGAAUUUCCUGUGUAGCGGUGAAAUGCGUAGAUAUAGGAAGGAACACCAGUGGCGAAGGCGACUACCUGGACUGAUACUGACACUGAGGUGCGAAAGCGUGGGGAGCAAACAGGAUUAGAUACCCCUGUAGUCCCUGUCUCUUAUAC